CCUACGGGCGACAGCAGUCGAGAAUCAUUCACAAUGGGGGAAACCCUGAUGGUGCGACGCCGCGUGGGGGAAUGAAGGUCUUCGGAUUGUAAACCCCUGUCAUGUGGGAGCAAAUUAAAAAGAUAGUACCACAAGAGGAAGAGACGGCUAACUCUGUGCCAGCAGCCGCGGUAAUACAGAGGUCUCAAGCGUUGUUCGGAAUCACUGGGCGUAAAGUGUGCGUAGGCUGUUUCGUAAGUCGUGUGUGAAAGGCGCGGGCUCAACCCGCGGACGGCACAUGAUACUGCGAGACUAGAGUAAUGGAGGGGGAAGCGGAAUUCGCGGUGUAGCAGUGAAAUGCGUAGAUAUCGAGAGGAACACUCGUGGCGAAGGCGGGUUCCUGGACAUUAACUGACGCUGAGGCACGAAGGCCAGGGGAGCGAAAGGGAUUAGAUACCCCAGUAGUC
RNAcentral lists this ribosomal RNA (446 nucleotides) under uncultured bacterium. RNAcentral describes it as "partial 16S ribosomal RNA". It matches the Rfam family "Bacterial small subunit ribosomal RNA", at positions 338 to 795 of the family's 1533-position model. The record is from RNAcentral.